Molecule: unclassified non-coding RNA, 870 nt
Filed under: Hevea brasiliensis (rubber tree)
Lineage: Eukaryota; Viridiplantae; Streptophyta; Magnoliopsida; Malpighiales; Euphorbiaceae
Source: RNAcentral
UCCUUGACAUGUACACUCAAUGGUAAUACUAGACGAGGUUUUGUAAUUUGUAAUUCCAUUUCACUUGAUUUUGUUGUGGAAUUUUUUUUCUUUUGUUAAUUAAAAAAAAAAAAAGGAAUGACAGGUAAUUUUCGAACAAAACUAAGUAAACGGCGUGUCGUUAUGCAAAACUACCUGUCGAAAAGUAACCCUUGUAGAAUUUCAUUCCUAGCUCCUCUCCAUGUAUGGUAGUAAGUAGACGCAGGCCGAGCUAAUUUUGCAGUGAUAAUAUGGGAAGAGCUUUGCUUUUCAAAUUCAUGAAAGCUUUAAAUUCCACUCAGUGACUGGUUUGGAAACAUUGUCUGUCCGGUAAAACUCUACGCUGCCCAAACUUUUGAAACUUUGUUGGUGUACCUCGGAAAAUAGUAGGCAUGAGUGAUGGGUUCAAUACCUGGAACACACACAUCUACACUCUUUCAAACGUAUUGAAUUCUGAUAGUAAUUUUUAAGCAUGGUAAGAGGCAAUAAGGUAAGACCAUUAAAACACAUGCCAUCGAGACUUUGGAAGCUUUUCUGUGAUUAAAGCUUCCCAUCCUAUGCAACAGUUCAGUAAACUUGAUCUUUCCUCUUCAUGAUUAGGAUAAAGGAUCCCACAUUUUUAUUCUUGAAUGAUUUUAACUUCUGGCAGCAGGACAUCUCCAUAUUUUUUUGAAUAGCCCUCUGCCCAUAUUUCAGAAUGCCAAUUGUCAAGCCAGGAAAAUUUUAAUUUCCAUUUCCAAAUGUAUGAAAUGCAGAAGAUAUAACCUUACAUCUAAUUCAAUUAUUUGGGAAUUUUUCUUCAUUUUGUUUUCCUUUUGGAGUUCUUCAGGUGUGGACCUUGUAAAGUGAUAG